AUUGAACGCUGGCGGCAGGCCUAACACAUGCAAGUCGAGCGGAUGAAGGGAGCUUGCUCCUGGAUUCAGCGGCGGACGGGGGAGUAAUGCCUAGGAAUCUGCCUGGUAGUGGGGGAUAACGUCCGGAAACGGGCGCUAAUACCGCAUACGUCCUGAGGGAGAAAGUGGGGGAUCUUCGGACCUCACGCUAUCAGAUGAGCCUAGGUCGGAUUAGCUAGUUGGUGGGGUAAAGGCCUACCAAGGCGACGAUCCGUAACUGGACUGAGAGGAUGAUCAGUCACCCUGGAACUGGGACACCGUCCAGGCUCCUACGGGAGGCCGCAGUGGGGAAUAUUGGGCAAUGGGCGAAAGCCUGAUCCAGCCGGGCCGCGUGUGUGAAGACGGUCUUCGGAUUGUAAAGCACUUUAAGUUGGGAGGAAGGGCAGUAAGUUGAUACCUUGCUGUUUUGACGGUACCGAGAGAAUAAGCACCGGCUAACUACGUG
RNAcentral lists this ribosomal RNA (484 nucleotides) under uncultured bacterium. Its description in RNAcentral is "partial 16S ribosomal RNA". It matches the Rfam family "Bacterial small subunit ribosomal RNA", at positions 30 to 507 of the family's 1533-position model. The record is from RNAcentral.